CGAGGUAAGCGGCGGGGAUAGGGCAUGCAGUCGAGCGGGAUCCUGUUCCUUCAAUUCUUCGGAAAAGAAGGCGCGGGUGAGAGCGGCGAACGGGUGAGUAAUGUAUGGGUAAUUUGCCUUGAAGCUUGGGAUAGCCACCCGAAAGGGUGGGUAAUACCAGAUGUGCUCGGGUGCCGCAUGGCACCUUAUGUAAAGGCGGGGAUCUUCGGACCUGCCACUUUAAGAUGAGCCCAUAUCCUAUCAGCUAGUUGGUAAGGUAACGGCUUACCAAGGCUUACGGGUAGCUGGUCUGAGAGGACGACCAGCCACACUGGGACUGAGACACUGCCCAGACUCCUACGGGAGGCUGCAGUCGAGAAUAUUUGUCAAUGCACGAAAGUGUGAACAUGCGACGCCGCGUGGAGGACGAAGGCCUUCGGGUUGUAAACUCCUGUCAUGAGGGAAUAAAUGUGAACUGGCUAAUACCCGGUUCGCUUGACAGUACCUCAGGAGGAAGUCACGGCUAACUCUGUGCCAGCAGCCGCGGUAAUACAGAGGUGGCAAGUGUUGUUCGGAUUUACUGGGCGUAAAGGGUCCGCAGGCGGCUUUGUGUGUCAGAUGUGAAAUCCCACGGCUCAACCGUGGAAAUGCAUUUGAAACUACAGGGCUAGAGUACGGGAGAGGAGAGGGGAAUUCAUGGUGUAGCGGUGAAAUGCGUAGAUAUCAUGAAGAACACCGGUGGCGAAAGCGCCUCUCUGGACCGAUACUGACGCUCAUGGACGAAAGCCAGGGGAGCAAAGAGGAUUAGAUACCCUCGUAGUCCUGGCCAUAAACGGUGCGCACUUGAUGUGGGAGGUUUACCCCCUUCCGUGUCGAAGCUAACGCGAUAAGUGCGCCGCCUGGGAAGUACGGCCGCAAGGUUAAAACUCAAAGGAAUUGACGG
This 922-nucleotide ribosomal RNA is filed under the name uncultured Lentisphaerota bacterium. Its description in RNAcentral is "bacterial SSU rRNA". It matches the Rfam family "Bacterial small subunit ribosomal RNA", at positions 31 to 916 of the family's 1533-position model. The record is from RNAcentral. Lineage: Bacteria; Pseudomonadati; Lentisphaerota.